Molecule: ribosomal RNA, 253 nt
Filed under: uncultured bacterium
Lineage: Bacteria
Description: partial 16S ribosomal RNA
Rfam family: Bacterial small subunit ribosomal RNA
Source: RNAcentral
GACGUAGGAUGCAAGCGUUGUUCGGAUUUAUUGGGCGUAAAGCGUACGUAGGCGGUGCGACAAGUCUGAUGUUAAAGCUAGGAGCUCAACUCCUGUGAUGCAUUGGAAACUGUCGGGCUAGAGUGCGGUAGGGGAAGGUGGAAUUCCGAGUGUAGCGGUGAAAUGCGUAGAUAUUCGGAAGAACACCGGUGGCGAAAGCGACCUUCUGGGCCGUAACUGACGCUGAGGUACGAAAGCGUGGGGAGCAAACAGG